Molecule: non-coding RNA, 282 nt
Organism: Rattus norvegicus (Norway rat)
Lineage: Eukaryota; Metazoa; Chordata; Mammalia; Rodentia; Muridae
Source: RefSeq, a predicted model, not a curated record
CGCAGCGCCCUUUAUUGGGCAGCUAAUCUGGGUGCUCUGAAUGGCUAGCGAGGCCUGAGUGACAGGGACUGUUAUGUCUCAGAGAAAACAGGGAGCCGUUGGCUUGUCCCGGAGUACACACAUACAGUAGAUCUGGCAAAGUGGCCCAUGGAUAUAACAUCCUGGCAAUAUAGAGAGUGAGGCAGGAGAGUCCCCAGGGAGAUCUACACCAGCCUGGACUACAGAGCAAGACCCUGUCUCAGAAAACAAAAUAAUAAAGCACUCUUCGUUUCACAGCUUAAA